CCAGAUUCUUCACAGAUACUUCCUCCUCUGGAGCUGACAAGAAGUGAGCCACACAGGGAAGCCUUGCCCAAGGGUGGGUGUCCCGGCCCGCAGGGGAUCCUAGUUCCUGGGGCAAAGACCCUGGUCCUAUGACCAGAGAAACAGUAAAGUCACAGCAUGGGCCCAGGCUUGCCCCUGGAUUGGACUCUGAUUCUGACAUAUACAGAUAUUUGAUGCCAAGUCACAAAGGCCUGGGACUGCAGGAGGAGGAGAACAUUUUAUCACAGGACAUUUGGGAAGGAUAUAUCUUCCAGUGUUUGUUGGGAGUCAUUUUUAGAAAGAAGCUUUCCCUUUGUUAUGUGCUCUACUUGUGGAUAUAUUUCCAUGUGAGACUUUCUUCAGAUCUAUACUACAUGGUAUGUUCUAAAAAGCCACAUCAAUUCACAAAAAGUUUUGGAGAAGCCAAAGCACAAAUCAUUUGCACUGAACCUACAUUUACUGUGGACUGAGAUGCAGAACAACACAAAGCAGAAACUCUUGGCAUAGGAGGGUAAUGAACAAGACAAGUGCUUCUUGUUUCUUGGUUAGUUUGUUUUGCAAGCAGAAUGCAAUCUCACCUUGAGGGCAAAUCUCCAAUAUAUAGAAAAGGCAUUUGGAGCAGAUCUCUCUCCCCCAUCUCUGUUAGUUUAGCCCCAAAAUGUCAGUUAAAGAAAAUUCUUCUCUCUUCCCUUCUCUCUUCAGCCUGCAACUGAAUAUAGCACAUCUCAGUCUUAUCAAAAUUCCC
RNAcentral lists this long non-coding RNA (763 nucleotides) under Heterocephalus glaber (naked mole-rat). RNAcentral describes it as "lncRNA (ENSHGLG00100035804.1)". The record is from RNAcentral. Lineage: Eukaryota; Metazoa; Chordata; Mammalia; Rodentia; Bathyergidae.